This 479-nucleotide ribosomal RNA is filed under the name uncultured Campylobacterota bacterium. Its description in RNAcentral is "bacterial SSU rRNA". It matches the Rfam family "Bacterial small subunit ribosomal RNA", at positions 400 to 896 of the family's 1533-position model. The record is from RNAcentral. Lineage: Bacteria; Pseudomonadati; Campylobacterota.
CGUGGAGGAUGACGCAUUUCGGUGUGUAAACUCCUUUUAUAUGUCAAGAAAAUGACGGUAGCAUAUGAAUAAGCACCGGCUAACUCCGUGCCAGCGGCCGCGGUAAUACGGAGGGUGCAAGCGUUACUCGGAAUCACUGGGCGUAAAGGACGCGUAGGCGGGAUGGUAAGUCUGAUGUGAAAUCCUACAGCUUAACUGUAGAACUGCAUUGGAAACUACUAACCUAGAGUAUGGGAGGGGGAGAUGGAAUUAGUGGUGUAGGGGUAAAAUCCGUAGAUAUCACUAGGAAUACCUAAAGCGAAGGCGAUCUCCUGGAACAAUACUGACGCUAAGGCGUGAAAGCGUGGGGAGCAAACGGGAUUAGAUACCCCGGUAGUCCACGCCCUAAACGAUGAACACUAGUCGUCGGGAUGCUUGUCAUCUCGGUGAUGCACUUAACAGAUUAAGUGUUCCGCCUGGGGAGUACGGUCGCAAGAUUA